UACGUAGGGACCGAGCGUUGUCCGGAUUCAUUGGGCGUAAAGAGCUCGUAGGCGGCUGUUCAAGUCGAACGUGAAAACUCGGAGCUCAACUCCGAGCCUGCGUUCGAUACUGGACGGCUAGAGUCUGGUAGGGGGAUCUGGAAUUCCUGGUGUAGCGGUGGAAUGCGCAGAUAUCAGGAGGAACACCUAUAGCGAAGGCAGCUUGCUGGGACGUUACUGACGCUAAGGCGCGAAAGCGUGGGGAGCGAACAGG
Molecule: ribosomal RNA, 253 nt
Filed under: uncultured bacterium
Lineage: Bacteria
Description: partial 16S ribosomal RNA
Rfam family: Bacterial small subunit ribosomal RNA
Source: RNAcentral